AGAGUUUGAUCAUGGCUCAGAGCGAACGCUGGCGGCGUACUUAACACAUGCAAGUCGAACGGGGAUCAUCGGUGUAGCAAUACAUUGCUGGUCCUAGUGGCGCACGGGUGAGUAACACGUGGGUAACCUGCCCUUGAGUUCGGGAUACCCCCUCGAAAGGGGGGCUAAUACCGGAUACGUUCCUCGGAUCGACAGGUCUGGGGAGGAAAGGUGGCGCAAGCUGCCGCUCUCGGAGGGGCUCGCGGCCUAUCAGCUAGUUGGCGGGGUAACGGCCCACCAAGGCUAUGACGGGUAGCUGGUCUGAGAGGACGACCAGUCACACGGGGACUGAGACACGGCCCCGACUCCUACGGGAGGCAGCAGUGGGGAAUUUUCCGCAAUGGGCGAAAGCCUGACGGAGUGACGCCGCGUGUGGGACGAAGGCCUUCGGGUCGUAAACCACUGUCAGUGGGAAAGAAGGGUGUCGGCGCCAAUACCGCCGGCACUUGACGGUACCUGCAGAGGAAGCCCCGGCCAACUCUGUGCCAGCAGCCGCGGUAAGACAGAGGGGGCAAGCGUUGCUCGGAAUUACUGGGCGUAAAGGGCGCGUAGGCGGGAUGGCAAGUCGGUCGUGAAAUCCUUCGGCUCAACCGAAGAACGUCGAUCGAUACUGCUGUUCUUGAGGAUUGCAGAGGAGACUGGAAUUCCCGGUGUAGCGGUGAAAUGUGUAGAGAUCGGGAGGAACACCGGUGGCGAAAGCGGGUCUCUGGGCAAUUCCUGACGCUGAGGCGCGAAAGCGUGGGGAGCAAACGGGAUUAGAUACCCCGGUAGUCCACGCUGUAAACGAUGACGACUAGGUGUGGGGGGGUUCAGUCCCUUCCGUGCCGCAGCUAACGCAUUAAGUCGUCCGCCUGGGGAGUACGGCCGCAAGGUUGAAACUCCAAAGGAAUUGACGGGGGCCGA
RNAcentral lists this ribosomal RNA (942 nucleotides) under uncultured bacterium. RNAcentral's name for it is "bacterial SSU rRNA". It matches the Rfam family "Bacterial small subunit ribosomal RNA", at positions 8 to 923 of the family's 1533-position model. The record is from RNAcentral.